AAAAAAAAAAAAAAAAAAAAAAAAAAAAAAAAAAAACUCUCUCUGUUCUCUACGAUCCGAUCCGAUCCGAUGGGUUUUGGAGAUUAAUUAAUUGGUAACACCCCAAAAUCUGCUAGAGAUUGAUGAUUCUAACUGGGAUGAUGCAUCUCAAACAAAAUGAAACAGCUCACAUCCUCAAACAAGCUUAUUCAAUGAAGACGAUUUGUUUUUUGUACAGAGCCCGAUCAGAGUUCAUUUUCUCCGCCGAAAAGGUACAACUCUGAAGCGAUGAUUUUGCUGCGAAAUUUUGAUGUCACAAGCACAUACAUAAGUGUGAUGGAAAAUUUUCCGAAACAGGGCCUCGUCGGGUGAGGCGAAUCGCAUGUGAAUUGACGCGGCGCCAUCCCUGAGCAGAAACCGAUCACUGUCGAAGGCUUCUUGAGCUUCGCCGCCCGUAUGGUAAUGUGGGUCCUGAAAUCUUGCUCAACCAUCUUCUGAGCCAUGAAAAUAUAAAUGGGUUUCAUUAGAAUCUAGCACCAGAAGAAUGGUAUAUCCUAAAGAGUGGGAUAGAUUUUGAGAGACUACACUUAUCACAGAGUUGCAUUUAAAUGCAUUUACUUUUCAGCACAUUCAUUAAAUAGUAAGAGGAAUGUAAAAGUGUAUGACAUGAUGAGGAAAUUGUUUACCAUUUAUCCUUUUCAAA
Molecule: long non-coding RNA, 682 nt
Organism: Ananas comosus (pineapple)
Lineage: Eukaryota; Viridiplantae; Streptophyta; Magnoliopsida; Poales; Bromeliaceae
Exons: 2
Source: RefSeq, a predicted model, not a curated record